Molecule: ribosomal RNA, 376 nt
Filed under: uncultured bacterium
Lineage: Bacteria
Description: bacterial SSU rRNA
Rfam family: Bacterial small subunit ribosomal RNA
Source: RNAcentral
AAUAAGCCCCGGCUAACUACGUGCCAGCAGCCGCGGUAAGACGUGGGGGGCGAGCGUUGUCCGAAUUUACUGGGCGUAAAGAGCACGUAGGCGGCUACUUAAGUGGAGGGUGAAAUCCCGCGGCUCAACCGCGGAACUGCCCUUCAAACUGGGUGGCUUGAGAGUGGGAGAGGAGAGUGGAAUUCCUGGUGUAGCGGUGGAAUGCGUAGAUAUCAGGAGGAACACCCGUGGCGAAGGCGGCUCUCUGGCCCAUUUCUGACGCUGAGGUGCGAAAGCGUGGGGAGCGAACGGGAUUAGAUACCCCGGUAGUCCACGCCGUAAACGAUGGAUACUAGGUGUAAGUGGUAUCGACCCCACUUGUGCCGUAGCUAACGCA